GAUGAACGCUGGCGGCGUGCCUAAUACAUGCAAGUCGAACGGAGAGAUUGUAGCAAUACGGUCUCUUAGUGGCGAACGGGUGAGUAACGCGUUGGUGACCUGCCCCGAAGAGGGGGAUAACAGUCCGAAAGGAUUGCUAAUACCCCAUACGGUCUUAGAGAUUAGAAGCUUUAAGACCAAAGGAGAAAUUCGCUUCGGGGAGGGGCCUGCGUCCCAUCAGCUAGUUGGUAAGGUAACGGCUUACCAAGGCGACGACGGGUAGGGGACCUGAGAGGGUCGGCCCCCCACAAUGGAACUGAAACACGGUCCAUACACCUACGGGUGGCUG
Molecule: ribosomal RNA, 328 nt
Filed under: uncultured Chloroflexota bacterium
Lineage: Bacteria; Bacillati; Chloroflexota
Description: bacterial SSU rRNA
Rfam family: Bacterial small subunit ribosomal RNA
Source: RNAcentral